CUCAUCCAGAGCGGUGGAGGGACUGGCCCUAUGAAGCCGCGGCAACCAUUGUCCAUGUGAGUGGACGAAACGGUGCUAAUUCCUGUAGGCUGUGCCUGAAAGAUGAGA
RNAcentral lists this non-coding RNA (108 nucleotides) under Anaerovibrio slackiae. RNAcentral's name for it is "SAM riboswitch (S box leader)". It matches the Rfam family "SAM riboswitch aptamer (S box leader)". From Rfam's summary of the family: The SAM riboswitch is found upstream of a number of genes which code for proteins involved in methionine or cysteine biosynthesis in Gram-positive bacteria. RNAcentral also lists the same sequence under 1 other name. Lineage: Bacteria; Bacillati; Bacillota; Negativicutes; Selenomonadales; Selenomonadaceae. The record is from RNAcentral.